RNAcentral lists this ribosomal RNA (497 nucleotides) under uncultured bacterium. RNAcentral's name for it is "partial 16S ribosomal RNA". It matches the Rfam family "Bacterial small subunit ribosomal RNA", at positions 28 to 507 of the family's 1533-position model. The record is from RNAcentral.
GAUGAACGCUGGCGGCGUGCCUAAUACAUGCAAGUCGAGCGAACAGACGAGGAGCUUGCUCCUCUCACGUUAGCGGCGGACGGGUGAGUAACACGUGGAUAACCUACCUAUAAGACUGGUAUAACUUCGGGAAACCGGAGCUAAUACCGGAUAAUAUACUGAACCGCAUGGUUCAAUAGAGAAAGACGGUUUUGCUGUAACUUAUAGAUGGAUAUGCGCCGCAUUAGCUAGUUGGGAAGGUAACGGGUUAUCAAGGGAACGAUGCGUAAGCGACCGGCGAGGGGGAUAGGCCGCACGGGAGCUGAGACACGGACCAGACUACUACGGGAGGCAGCAGUAUGGUACGGUCCGCAAUAGGCGGAAGCCUGGCGGAGCAGCGCGGAGUGAGUGAUGGAGGUCUUCGGAUCGGGAAACUGUGUUAUUAGGGAAGAACAAAUGUGUAAGUAACUAUGCACGGCUUGACGGUAACUAAUCAGAAAGCCACGGCUAACUACGUG